UUAAUUGCCCCCAAAUCUCCUCCGCUUCCCACUCCCUCUCGAUUCCAAAACCCUCGCUGGCCUCUUCUACAGAUGGAUCGAUCGAUCAUGCGAUGAAGAAGGAAGAGGUACGGCAAGGCCUAUCCCGCCAGAGAGAAUGCGUGUUCAGGGUGAUCUGCGAGGCUGCAGAUCGAGAUCCAGCACUGUCGGAGCCAACCGAACGUCUUCCGUUUCUUGGCUUGGUUCCAUGAUGAGACCGGCGUCUACUUGGACCUCGAGUUCGCGGUUCAGGAUAAUGAAAGUUGACAUAACGUUCCCUUCCACUCUCUGUCUGAUGAAGCUAGUGAUGUUAUCGGCAACGACAUUUUGGCAGAAUAUGGUGUUGGCAAAUAACAUAGCACAUGCCUACAUCUGCUGGCAAUGGUUUGGUCGGGUGGAACAGCAAGGAGGAUGCAGUAAGCUUCAUCCGAGUGGUUAAAGCAGCACAACUCCUCGAGGAUGCUGAGGUGAACGAGGAGAUCAGGGAAGGGGUCGUGGAAGAAGGCCGGCGAGACGGCCGGCAGCCCACCAACUCCCGUGGCGUCCUCCUCGUCGAUGAGCCCGACGCCGAGCUCCAUGUCCCAGUCGUCGUAGUCGUGGGCGUGGCUCUCGACCUCCCGCUCGCAGGCGAACUCCGACGACGACAGCACGUGCUCCGAGCCGGUCGACUCCCCCGUCAGAGGCGGCAGUGACUCGGGCGAGUCGAAGCAGAUCAUUGCACUUCUCGGCGCCGGCACGUGCGAGACGACACCCUGUUUUGAGUCCGGCUGGGCCGGCCGAGUCUUCUUGGGUCCGGCUGCCUUCCGGCCCGGGGUGGCUUGCUUUCCCACCUCCCCCUUCUUGUGGUAGAUCCGGCACAGCACCCAGUCAUCAAGCUGCAUUACGAAACGCCAGCGAGAAAUCGGAUCAGGUACAUGGCGGUCUGUAUGUUGCAGCGUACAACCUCAUCUAAUUGUUGGGCACGUGUAGGACAAUGUUGGCGUACCCGGAGGCUGCGGUUCUUGCGGGCGGAGCGAUCGACGUCGGCGAGGCGGUACUCGUGCAUGAUCCAGUUGGUCUUCUCCCCCUUGGGCGGCUUCCCGGAGUAGAACACGAGCGCCUUUUUUAUGGCGACCGGGCGAGGCGAACCGACGGGCUUGUCGGCCCCGGUGGCCUUCCAGUAUCCCGAGCCGGCGGCCCGGUUCGGCCGCGACCCGUUGGGGUACUUGCGGUCCCGCGGCGAGAAGAAGUACCACUCCUUCUCGCCGUACAGUGCCAUGCCUGCCGAGGAGAUCAUCAGGACUUCAAGAUCCAUCUGCACCGCGUGAUCAUGAUCGGACGGGAUGAGAAAUGGGCGAGAGAGGGGGAGGACAGGCACGUGUACCUGGGAGCUGCCAGGGGUCGUACUUGUACAGGUCGACAUCGGCGAUGAUGGGAACGGGGACGGGAAUCGCCGCGCACCGCCGGCAUAGGUAGUGCAUCACCAGUUCCUCGUCCGUCGGAUGGAAGCGGAACCCGGGGGGUAGGGCCAAUUCGCUGCCGUUCAUCGUCGCCUCCCUUUCCGUCGUCGUUCUCUUCGCCUCGGCUGUCGUAAGAAGGCGAAGAACGCUUUGGAAUUCGGGAGAGUUGAGGGUAGGGAACUUAUAUCGUGGAGUGUGGCCUGGAUUUACGAAACGUGGCGGAGAUCGAGCGGGGAGCAGCAGCGUGGACGGGAUUGGGGUGCGCGGAUUCUGUCACGGCUGACGUAGUAGGUUGCGGGGCCCGCGUUGUCCCUGUGAGGGGGCGAAGGAACGGCGUCAGCCCGAGGACGGCAGCGGGCGAGGCGGAAGAUGGGGACGGCGGAGCGACCGGUGGAAGACGCGGCGAGAUGGAGGCGGAGUCGGACUCCAAUUUAGGACAGGGGGCACUUAAUUAGUGUUUACCUGUCAGCGUCGUGGCACCGGGUAUUCCAGGUGGAUGCGAAACGUACGGUCAAGAUGUUAUCCGUUAUGUCCAUUCCAUGAUUCCACACUUGAAAAAGGCCACCCGUUUUUGCACCCAUCAGGAUUCCGGAUCUGAGAGUAACGGACGGAGAGUUAAGUUGAUAGUAAUAAAUUGAAUUUAUACGUGGCAGGCAGCUACAAUGAUUGGUGUAGGUCAACGAUCGGAGGAUGGUCUACGGUUCCACGUAGGAUUCCCAAGUGGAUGUUUUCUAUUCUUUGAGCAAGUGCGGUCUCAGGAUCUGCAUGUGGGUCGCGGAUUAUUUUUCAUGGGUGGAUCGUGUGUGAAAGGAUACCACCCGGGAAAGUUUCAGGAUGGUUCGGUCCACCUAAAUCGCGGUCGUGACAAGAGACAUGGCCCGCAGGCAUGACAACAGACGAGAUCCGCAGCAACAUCUUCUUCUGGGCCAAUAGUUUUAUAUUAUUCGCGAGGCAGGUAAGGAACAAGGGAUUAAUACCCAAUGUUGAUGGGUAAUGUUGUCCUUUUAAUUGGACGGAGGAAGGUGGGGUCGGUCCUUGGUAGACCGCCGCGGCGAGCAGAUUACGUGUAGAAGAUGCGGCGGUGGCUUCCAAUUUGAUCUUUUCGUUAUUUAACACAAAAAAAAAAGAAAGAACAACCAGUGCUGCAGUCGUCGUUAACAUCAGCAUUGGGAUCACCACAUCUUGGUUUGCAGUAGUUUAAUUACGCGGAGUCAGAUAGCAUUCGUUAAUUAUAUAUGUCUUCCUUUUCCCUCGCUAGCUCGAAAGGUUGGGGUAUGGGGAGACAUCACUGUAGGUUGGUCUCUUCACUUCCGGAUUCGCUGCUUCACUUCACUGUGGGUUUGCAUCAGUGAGUCUAGGAGGAGAUCCACAAAUUCUAUCCGUCAGGCUUUGGUAGUAUGAGGGCAUUCAGUAUAGUUUUUACUGUUUCCUCCUUUGUGGAAUUUAUGUUGUUUAUAGCUAAGUCUUCUAGAAAAACAACAGGAUGAAUCUGAUGAAAUGCAUUUUUUUACUCUUCACAUCCAUGAUGCAUUUAAAUAGUAAGGUUAAGAACUCUCAUCUUUACUCUUUGUUAUUGUUAUCCAUUGACCCCAUAGUUGGAGCCACUGCAGCUGGUAAUGCUGUUGUUUUGAAACCAUCAGAGGUUUUUAUAAGAGUGAUUGAGUGAUCUAUUCCUGAGAAAACAGCACUUUUUUGGUACAAAAGUUUGAUAAAAUACUCUAUCCAUGUCUUUACUUGCUACCUAAAAGUGUUUCUCCUGUUCAAUAUUUUUCUUUUCUAAUAUUGACUGCCUUGGUGUUCUUUAUACGUGACAUGCUCCACUUAUAUAAGAUUUUUUGAUAUAGCUAUUUCUUCCAUUUAAACAAUGUGCAGUGGCUGAUGGUUCUGUGCACUUAAACCUGUGACAUUGAACAAUAACAGAACUACUAUGUAAACUUUACAGGCAAUGCGAGAGUAGGCCAUAUAUCCUGAUGACUGCAGCUGCAAAGCAUCCAACACAAGCAAUUCCGGAGAUUGCAGCAAGCAAACAGAAGGGAUGCGACAUUGGACGAGCUUGUAUUUCACCGGAUUAUAUUAUUACAACAACAUUAUUUGCUCCAAAAUUGCUAAGUGGGUAGCGAUUUCAUCCUGCUUAUCUAUUGCUCGAUUAGUGACCAUGAUAAUUGCAGGUGGAUGCUCUAAGAUCAACUUUAGAGAAAUUAUACAGGAAGAAUGCGUCGGAAUCAGCAGAUCUAUCUCGCACUGUGAACUCCAACCAUUUCUCGAGCUCGAUGAGUCUUUUGGAUGGUGAAAUGGUUUCUGGCACGAUUGUCUACGCGGGACACCGGAAUGAAGAUUGCCGGUACGCAUCACACGCAAUACCAUUUUCAAUGAGAUGGUUCAAGUUACAUGUUUGUAACAUCAUCCCAAUGUGAUUGCAGAAGAAUAGCUCCUCUUAUUAGAUGUUUCGGAUGUUUCACGAUAAUGAAAGAGGAAAUUUUGACCCUCUA
This is an RNA transcript of Musa acuminata AAA Group (dessert banana), 3946 nucleotides long. RefSeq lists it as uncharacterized. Lineage: Eukaryota; Viridiplantae; Streptophyta; Magnoliopsida; Zingiberales; Musaceae. The transcript is spliced from 7 exons. The record is from RefSeq and is a predicted model, not a curated record.